Molecule: ribosomal RNA, 501 nt
Filed under: uncultured bacterium
Lineage: Bacteria
Description: partial 16S ribosomal RNA
Rfam family: Bacterial small subunit ribosomal RNA
Source: RNAcentral
AUUGAACGCUGGCGGCAUGCCUUACACAUGCAAGUCGAACGGCAGCACGGGUGCUUGCACCUGGUGGCGAGUGGCGAGCGGGUGAGUAUUACAUCGGAACGUACCUUAUCGUGGGGGAUAACGCAGCGAAAGCUGUGCUAAUACCGCAUACGCUCUGAGGGGGAAAGCGGGGGAUCGCAAGACCUCGCGCGAUUAGAGCGGCCGAUGCCUGAUUAGCUUGUUGGUGGGGUAAAAGCCCACCAAGGCCACGAUCAGUAGCUGGUCUGAGAGGACGAUCAGCCACACUGGGACUGAGACACGGCCCAGACUCCUACGGGAGGCAGCAGUGGGGAAUUUUGGACAAUGGGGGCAACCCUGAUCCAGCAAUGCCGCGUGAGUGAAGAAGGCCUUUGGGUUGUAAAGCUCUUUUGUCAGGGAAGAAACACCGGCUCUAACACAGUCCGGGAAUGACGGUACCUGAAGAAUAAGCACCGGCUAACUACGUGCCAGCCGCCGCAGUAA